UACGUAGGGUGCAAGCGUUAAUCGGAAUUACUGGGCGUAAAGCGUGCGCAGGCGGUUUUGUAAGUCUGUCGUGAAAUCCCCGGGCUUAACCUGGGAAUGGCGAUGGAGACUGCAAGGCUAGAGUUUGGCAGAGGGGGGUAGAAUUCCACGUGUAGCAGUGAAAUGCGUAGAGAUGUGGAGGAACACCGAUGGCGAAGGCAAUCCCCUGGACCUGUACUGACGCUCAUGCACGAAAGCGUGGGGAGCAAACAGG
RNAcentral lists this ribosomal RNA (253 nucleotides) under uncultured bacterium. RNAcentral's name for it is "partial 16S ribosomal RNA". It matches the Rfam family "Bacterial small subunit ribosomal RNA", at positions 524 to 776 of the family's 1533-position model. The record is from RNAcentral.